This 420-nucleotide long non-coding RNA is filed under the name Theobroma cacao (cacao). RNAcentral describes it as "long non-coding RNA (TCAC_LNC003424)". The record is from RNAcentral. Lineage: Eukaryota; Viridiplantae; Streptophyta; Magnoliopsida; Malvales; Malvaceae.
UCAUAUUAGCCAUGUCAUAUUGUCGAAAUUUUUAUUGAUUUGGUGGGGUAAUUGAUUAGCUUACUACAGUGGGCAGGUUUUCGUGGACCAGCCUAUUAGAGGGGCACGGCAAAACCCGUCAUAUUUUACCCUAGUAUGAGAGACACGGAGGGUAUCUCCUAAGGUAGUUUAGAGUUCACUUUACACCGAACCACCACGUGAGGGUGAAACUCAGCCAACUUCAAGGAACGACUAUAUUUUUAAACGUAAAAACAUGUUUUAUGUGUAUAUGUUAAUUUAAUAUCCUUGGCGAACUCGGUUGGAUGCCCGGUGCAAGGUGUCAUCAAGUACGAGUUUUGGCACGAGCCAAUUUUUAAGAGAGUCAUAAGCCUUGUUGAUUAUUUUUGAUGAAAUGUAAUUAUUUUAUAUGGUUGAAAUGAG